UCCCAGUCUUGGGCAAAGAAUCUCCUUGUAUAUAAAUUUGCGGGAAUGCAGAAGCUCUGAUGAAACAGCAGAUUCAGUGCUGGCAGCUUGCCAGUGAGUGAAUGUAUGCUCUUUAGUAUCAAGAAGAAAAGACAAAUGAUUCACAGUUUUGCAGAACAUUUCCUGGAUGCGUGUGUGUUACAGAAGAAUAAAUCCCCAACUACAGCCCAGACAACCCAUGUUUAGCCAGUGUAUCACAUGAUGGAACAGCCAGGCAGAGGAGGUUGGAAAUGAAAAGCAACACCUUCGCACACAUCCUGGGGAGAAGCAGCGGCAGUUCUGGUUGGUCAAACAUGGUCAGGACAGUGGACAUACCUCAAAACUGUCCAGAGGUUUGCAGAAGGCCUAGAUUUUUUUCUUCACAUUUUUGGUCUGUCCUUCGUGAAAUAAGUGGUUUUCUAGCAAAUCACUGAGGAAGUCACUAAAUUAUGACAUACAUUUGCAUUUCACACAUCAUAUUCUUCAAAAUAUGAGUACCAAUAAAAAAUCUGUUCUUCUAGCAA
This is a long non-coding RNA of Protopterus annectens (West African lungfish), 542 nucleotides long. RefSeq lists it as uncharacterized. The record is from RefSeq and is a predicted model, not a curated record. The transcript has 2 exons. NCBI's taxonomy places the organism in Eukaryota, Metazoa, Chordata, Ceratodontiformes, Protopteridae.